UGAGGAAUAUUGGUCAAUGGGGGCAACCCUGAACCAGCCAUGCCGCGUGCAGGAUGAAGGCGCUAUGCGUUGUAAACUGCUUUUCUCUGGGAAUAAACCCCUUUACGUGUAAAGGGCUGAAGGUACCAGAGGAAUAAGCACCGGCUAACUCCGUGCCAGCAGCCGCGGUAAUACGGAGGGUGCAAGCGUUAUCCGGAUUCAUUGGGUUUAAAGGGUGCGCAGGCGGGACCUUAAGUCAGUGGUGAAAUCCCUUCGCUUAACGAAGGAACUGCCAUUGAUACUGAGGUUCUUGAAUCUAGUUGACGUUAGUGGAAUGUGUCAUGUAGCGGUGAAAUGCUUAGAUAUGACACAGAACACCGAUCGCGAAGGCAGCUAACGAAGCUAGUAUUGACGCUCAGGCACGACAGCAUGGGGAGCAAA
This 420-nucleotide ribosomal RNA is filed under the name uncultured bacterium. RNAcentral's name for it is "bacterial SSU rRNA". It matches the Rfam family "Bacterial small subunit ribosomal RNA", at positions 355 to 772 of the family's 1533-position model. The record is from RNAcentral.